CGCAAAGCUGACUCAACAGCCAACCAGGGUCAAGAAUGGAAGGCACCAGUGCCAUUCCUCCCCACCAACCCCUACCCCGCGGAGUAGAAAUGAACUUGAGGGUGAGCGUGGGGGAAUUCUGCUGUGCUGCUGUUAAACGUCAGAAGAAUUGUUUUGGGGAAGAGGGAGACUUUUGGCCAGCCACAGCAGAGAGCCUCCAAAUUUUGGAACUCCAGUUGCAACCCCUUCUUUUUGGGGCGGCGGGGGUCCACCCCCCACCUCAUUCCAGCUGGUUACCGCAGGGCUGCCAAUCACAAGGGCUUGCCCCUCCUCUCCUGGGGCAGGCCUAGGACUCAAACCAGGCAACAGGACUCUGGUUCCUAGAAUCACCAAUGGGGAGAGUGCGUCUGACGGCCACAUCCUGGAAAGGUGGUCCAUAAACUCAACCAGUCAAGAGGAGGUGAUAACUGGGCCAGAACCCUGGUCUGUGAGACUCCCGAGACCAAGCUCAGGCACUGCUAACCUUAAAGACAUCUCUCCUGGGACCACCAGCCAGCCGAAGGCACAAAAGCCACCUCCCCUCCCGGGAGGUGCGGGCACCCAGCCUUUCCUGCAGGGGCGUGGCCAAUGUGUUCCACGAAAUCCCCCACCUCCAUUUUUAUUCUGCUUAGCUAUUCGGGGUCAGUGUCUGGGUCUUGAAACGGAAGAACCCCAACUUUGAACAGUGUUUCUAGAAGGAGUAGCGGGCCGAUCAUCAUAAAUGUUGCACUCGGGAAAAGCUCUUUAGUUGGAGACUUGAGAAAGGAGAGGUUUGUGCUCUCCCAGAUUCACGUGUUGAAGUUCUCAUGGGAUGGAUGGGAAUUAGAGGCGGGGCCUUCCAGAGUUUGAGGCCACCCCCACCCCCACCUUGAUGGGAUGAGUGCCCUCUGAGGAAGACAGAGGGCGCUAGUGAGCACACAAGAAGACCGGUGUGGCAACCAGGAGGAGGCCUCCCCAAGGACUCAACCUUGGGGGCACCCGAUCUUGGACGCCCCCGUCCCUGGGUAGAGCAGCCCGCCCUGAGGCACGGCAGCGUGGGGGCGGUUCGGUGAGAGUAUUGUGGGGUCAGGUCAGUUGGGGAAUGAAUGGGAGGGAGGGUCUGGAGCACCAUGGCCAGUGAACUUGUGUUAGACGCCCUCCAUUCCGGC
This 1166-nucleotide long non-coding RNA is filed under the name Neogale vison (American mink). RNAcentral's name for it is "Neovison vison (American mink) lncRNA (ENSNVIG00000003596.1)". The record is from RNAcentral. Lineage: Eukaryota; Metazoa; Chordata; Mammalia; Carnivora; Mustelidae.